Small nucleolar RNA from Dendrobium catenatum, 107 nucleotides. The record is from RefSeq and is a predicted model, not a curated record. NCBI's taxonomy places the organism in Eukaryota, Viridiplantae, Streptophyta, Magnoliopsida, Asparagales, Orchidaceae.
AAAGUAUGGUGAUGGAAUUUCCUAAGAAUUUUCUUAAAUCUCUUCCAACUUUCAUAAAAUAACUCUCCUUAAAUCUGGGUAAAUGAUGUGAUAUCAUUUUUAAGCUU